UACGUAGGGGGCAAGCGUUGUCCGGAUUUAUUGGGCGUAAAGAGCGUGUAGGCGGCUAGGCAGGUCUGGUGUGAAAACUCGAGGCUUAACCUCGAGAUGUCAUCGGAAACCAUCUGGCUAGAGUCCGGAAGGGGAGAGUGGAAUUCCUGGUGUAGCGGUGAAAUGCGCAGAUAUCAGGAAGAACACCAAUGGCGAAAGCAGCUCUCUGGGACGGUACUGACGCUGAGACGCGAAAGCGUGGGGAGCGAACAGG
RNAcentral lists this ribosomal RNA (253 nucleotides) under uncultured bacterium. RNAcentral describes it as "partial 16S ribosomal RNA". It matches the Rfam family "Bacterial small subunit ribosomal RNA", at positions 524 to 776 of the family's 1533-position model. The record is from RNAcentral.